Molecule: long non-coding RNA, 858 nt
Organism: Sphaerodactylus townsendi
Lineage: Eukaryota; Metazoa; Chordata; Lepidosauria; Squamata; Sphaerodactylidae
Exons: 2
Source: RefSeq, a predicted model, not a curated record
GAAAAUGUGGGCUUUAUGUACCCACAGGGAAUCAGUACUUGGUAUCAAUCUUUCAAUGGAUGCAAUGUGCUAUCACAACAGAAGGGAAAAAGAAUGGAUGUGAGAAUAUCACCUUGAAGGAUUAUCCCAACUAUGACUGACGAAUUUAAAUCAUAAUCUGAAGAAGAUUGAAUUGAAAACGGCUACAAUAGCGCAAUCCGUUAAUUUGUGUCUAUCGGACUUGGCUCAGACCAGUCCGCAUAUCUACCAGACUUACAGCAAGUCAGUUUGACGGAAUACAGGGAAUGCAGCGCAUUGAGGCCCCGGGGUCUGCAGAGCGUCCGGUCCAUGGGGCAUAACUGGCAGACAUGAGUCGGUGUCUGAGGCCUAACACAGCAGCCUCCCCCCUCGCCAGGAGAGGAACGGAGAGGAGUCGUGAUGGAGGGAGAGGUUUUCUCAGGGUUGUGAUAUCCAGACUCCUCAUCGGUCUGCAACGCAAUGCUUGUGCAUGGGGGGAAGGUCCGGCUGCCUGCCUGAGACUGAAGUCUGCUCGCUGGAGGAGGCGUCGGGGAAAACUCUAAGCACUCGUGAUACAGGUUUGUUUUUGCCUCAGCACCUUUGGCCAAAAGGGCUAUUCGUGACUGAACAGCCAUAAUAAAGUUGAGCUGUUCUGUGUCGUUUCUUUCUCGCCUCUGUCCUGAUAUCAAACUCUGGUAAGUGAGCCCCAUUCUAGACAGACGGACAGACGGAUGGACGAGCAGACGGACAGACGGAUAGAUCACCUCACUGUAACUACCAGUUUGGCUGCAUUGCAGUAAGAAAGUGUGUUCGCCAAGACUGAUCUGUAUGCUUUUAAUAAACUUUGAUGCAAGUGUUUAA